UACGUAGGCAGCGAGCGUUGUUCGGAGUUACUGGGCGUAAAGGGUGUGUAGGCGGUCUUUUAAGUUUGGUGUGAAAUCUCCCGGCUUAACCGGGAGGGUGCGCCGAAUACUGAGGGACUAGAGUGCGGGAGAGGAAAGUGGAAUUCCUGGUGUAGCGGUGAAAUGCGCAGAUAUCAGGAAGAACACCCGUGGCGAAGGCGGCUCUCUGGAACGCAACUGACGCUGAGG
This 228-nucleotide ribosomal RNA is filed under the name uncultured bacterium. RNAcentral describes it as "partial 16S ribosomal RNA". It matches the Rfam family "Bacterial small subunit ribosomal RNA", at positions 524 to 751 of the family's 1533-position model. The record is from RNAcentral.